CUGGCCGAAUACUAGGGGCCCCGAAAAUGAAUGGCGCAUAUAGUACUACCGAUCUCAGACAUCAGUUCUAUUGAACUGAGAGUAGGGGGAUGUGGACAUUUUUGUGAAGGUGCAAUGUGAGUUGGACUGGAAGAAUGUCUAUUACAGAUCCUAAUUGAAGUAGCGAUUAUCCAGGCUUGUAUCCUGGGGGCUGAUGAGGAGUAGGGUUUCUGGACAACUUAAACAGAUCCAGAGUUAGUCGAUCCUAAUCUCAAUAAUGGGAGAAAGGGAGUACAGUUGAUAUUCUGUAACUGACAACAGUUCGCGGCAACGCAUACUAUUUUUCUCCGCCAAUCUUAUACCGUUGGUAGGGAUCUCUUUCCUACAUGACAGUACUAAUACCCAGGGAAACUGGUCAUCAGGCGAACUGCGGCGUUCUGCUGGCAAAACAUAGCUUCGGUUAUGUCAAUGGCUAUUGGAUUGGUCCAUGAAGCGAAAAAUAGUUUACUGUGUCACUCGUACCGAUAACCGCAUCAGGUCUUCUAGGUAAGUAGCCUAUGGCCAUUGAGGCAUGAUAGUUCAGGGAAUUCGGCCAAUUAGAGCUGUAACUUCGGGAUAAAGCUUGGCUCUGAUGAAAAUCAGAACCGAUUGUUACGCGGAGAGCCCAACUGUUUAAUAAAAACGUAGUGUCGCGCUGUGGUAGUAUAGCCAGUGAACGCGACAUGAAUCCUGCUCAGUGCUGUGUCUGUUAAUAUGGUUCAAGCCAACGAAGCACCGGUAAAUAGCUGGGGUAACUAUGACUCUUAUCAAAGUAGCGAAAUACCUCGUCACUUAAUUAGUGACCUGCAUGAACGGAGCUAUGAGGUUCUCACUGUCCCAAACUGUCUCUCAGCGAACCAACUGUAGUGGGAACGGUCACUAGAUAUCCAGCGGGGAAAGAAG
This 921-nucleotide non-coding RNA is filed under the name Trichomonas vaginalis G3. RNAcentral's name for it is "Eukaryotic large subunit ribosomal RNA". It matches the Rfam family "Eukaryotic large subunit ribosomal RNA", at positions 1293 to 2409 of the family's 3401-position model. The record is from Rfam by way of RNAcentral. Lineage: Eukaryota; Parabasalia; Trichomonadida; Trichomonadidae.